This 341-nucleotide unclassified non-coding RNA is filed under the name soil metagenome. RNAcentral's name for it is "partial contains 5.8S ribosomal RNA, internal transcribed spacer 2, and large subunit ribosomal RNA". The stretch from base 1 to 117 matches the Rfam family "5.8S ribosomal RNA", at positions 38 to 154 of the family's 154-position model. The record is from RNAcentral.
GAAGAACGUAGCGAAAUGCGAUAAGUAAUGUGAAUUGCAGAAUUCAGUGAAUCAUCGAAUCUUUGAACGCACAUUGCGCCCGCCAGUAUUCUGGCGGGCAUGCCUGUUCGAGCGUCAUUUCAACCCUCAAGCCCCCGGGCUUGGUGUUGGGGAUCGGCGUGCCCUCGCGGCGCGCCGUCCCCUAAAUCUAGUGGCGGUCUCGCUGUAGCUUCCUCUGCGUAGUAGCAACACUCGCACUGGAUCGCAGCGCGGCCACGCCGUUAAACCCCCCACUUCUGAAAGUUUGACCUCGGAUCAGGUAGGAAUACCCGCUGAACUUAAGCAUAUCAAUAAGCGGAGGA